GUUAAAUCAUGUGCACGUAUGAAUAUGUAACAUGGAUCCCACUAUUAUAAUGCGCCAAUGAAAAUAUGGGGAAAAACUGGUCAAAUAGACUGACCUACUAUUCACACAUUCAGUAAGCAGCUCCAGUUACUAAAUAUAAAUUUAGGUAGUGUAAUACUCCCCUGAAUUUUCUCCUUGUGUUGAUCUUUAGGGCUCUUCCUCCUGUAUUCUCCCCGUUUAAGCCUUAGUGGUGAGCAUUUCCUCACUUUAUGUUCUCUUUAAGUGAUCAUUUUGUCAGUUAUGUGCUGAGUAUGUGGCAUAUUUACUGAGAUACCUCAUAGAAAUCUUAAAUUAAACAUGUCCUCUCCCCACUAUACUGGCUCCUUCUGUCUUCCUUACCUGGAUACAUUGGCACCUUUAUCAGUUGCACAAGCCAGUCUAGUUGACUCUCAAGCUCUGUUAUGUUAAACUUUCAACUAUAUUAUAUAUUUUAUCUUUUCCCCCCCAACUCCAUUGUAACCACCUUAAUCCUAGCCUCUGUUUUGUUGGAACUCCUGUAGUUGCCUUUUUUUUAUGAUUUCUCUGUUUCUUUGUCACACUCCAAGAACUUUUCUCCACCCAAAAACUGGAGUAAGCUUUUGAAAACAAUUAGAUCAUGUCACUUCCCUGUUUAAAACCAGUUAAU
This 664-nucleotide long non-coding RNA is filed under the name Marmota monax (woodchuck). The record is from RNAcentral. Lineage: Eukaryota; Metazoa; Chordata; Mammalia; Rodentia; Sciuridae.